RNAcentral lists this ribosomal RNA (471 nucleotides) under uncultured Planctomycetales bacterium. RNAcentral's name for it is "bacterial SSU rRNA". It matches the Rfam family "Bacterial small subunit ribosomal RNA", at positions 156 to 638 of the family's 1533-position model. Lineage: Bacteria; Pseudomonadati; Planctomycetota; Planctomycetia; Planctomycetales. The record is from RNAcentral.
CGAGUGGGUAAUACCUGGCGAUUCAGCGGGGAGGCAUCUUUCUGCUGGGAAACGAGUUUCGCCUCGGGAGGGGCUCAUGUAGUAUUAGCUAGUUGGUAAGGUAACGGCUUACCAAGGCGAAGAUGCUUAGCGGGUGUGAGAGCACGACCCGCGCCACUGGCACUGAGACACUGGCCAGACUCCUACGGGAGGCUGCAGUCGAGGAUCUUCGGCAAUGGGCGCAAGCCUGACCGAGCGACGCCGCGUGUGCGAAGAAGGCCUUCGGGUUGUAAAGCACUGUCGAGGGGAAGAAAGCCGCAAGGUUGAUCGACCCCUGGAGGAAGCACGGGCUAAGUUCGUGCCAGCAGCCGCGGUAAGACGAACCGUGCGAACGUUGUUCGGAAUCACUGGGUUUAAAGGGCGCGUAGGCGGGCUGUCAAGUCGGUGGUGAAAUCGUUCAGCUCAACUGGACAAUGGCCUUCGAUACUGGCG